UCCGGUUUGACACCGGCAGUCUCCCUAGAGUUCCCGGCUUUACCCGCUGGUAACUAGGGACGAGGGUUGCGCUCGUUGCGGGACUUAACCCAACAUGUCACCACACGAGCUGACGACAGCCAUGCAGCACCUGUCACUCGGUCGUAUUGCUACGAAAGCCGUAUCUCUACGGUUGUCCGAGGAUGUCAAACCCAGGUAAGGUUCUUCGCGUUGCUUCGAAUUAAACCACAUGAUCCACCGCUUGUGCGGGCCCCCGUCAAUUCCUUUGAGUUUUAGUCUUGCGACCGUACUUCCCAGGCGGGGUACUUAUCGCGUUAGCUCCGGCACAGCAGGGGUCAAGACCCACCAUGCCUAGUACCCAUCGUUUACGGCGUGGACUAC
RNAcentral lists this unclassified non-coding RNA (381 nucleotides) under uncultured delta proteobacterium. Its description in RNAcentral is "contains 16S-23S intergenic spacer region". Lineage: Bacteria; Deltaproteobacteria. The record is from RNAcentral.